Thalassophryne amazonica is the source of this 747-nucleotide long non-coding RNA. RefSeq lists it as uncharacterized. The transcript is spliced from 3 exons. NCBI's taxonomy places the organism in Eukaryota, Metazoa, Chordata, Actinopteri, Batrachoidiformes, Batrachoididae. The record is from RefSeq and is a predicted model, not a curated record.
UACAAAAUGGGAGCAAAACCAAAAGUGUUGCGUUUAUAUUUUUGUUGAGUAUAGUUUCUCAGCCCAGCGGGAUAGCUUUCCAUUUGUGUUUUGAUUGGGUAACUAGAAAUCCACUGUUCCAUUUUGGGCUAAAAGUUGCAAUUUGUGUGGUUUUCCACUGAAAACAAUGAGAAGUGUUUGCUCCUGCUGGUCUUUGGAUGCAAAAGAUGCAAAAAUCUAAGGUACUAUGCAAGGUUACCAAAUGCACAAUACAUGUCGCUAUAGUAACAGUAGAAUGAUGGAUGUACCAAAGGACCAUUCCCAUCAGUCACGACUCACGAGUAGUUAGCACGUGGCUUUUUCUCAUGUCAAGCUUAAAUUACACUUCAUUUUUGUCUUGUUAUGGCGGAAUACAAACACUGUGUUCAUUGAUGUUAGUCAUUAAAAAGAUUUGUUGUAAUCCAGCUGAUGUGCACGUACACUCAUGGUAUUUUUCCAACACAUCCAUGCGUCUGAGCACUUCACUGUCACACUUUGAGCAUUUCUUCUGUUAAAGCUAUUAAUUAUGGUGUACAUAGAAGCUUCUGUUUGUGUAUUGUCCUGUUUUCCCCCCUAGCUGAAAAUAAAAUGAUAUACACAAAUGUCUUUUUAUGAAGAAUGGGGUGAGGUUGGUGUCUUGUACCAUGUCUUUGAUUUGGUGGAACAUUCUUGUGCGGCAGCAUCAUCUCUGGCCUUUGAUAGCUGAAGUAAAAUAUGGUGCAUCAAAAC